Oncorhynchus keta (chum salmon) is the source of this 504-nucleotide long non-coding RNA. RefSeq lists it as uncharacterized. NCBI's taxonomy places the organism in Eukaryota, Metazoa, Chordata, Actinopteri, Salmoniformes, Salmonidae. The record is from RefSeq and is a predicted model, not a curated record. The transcript is spliced from 4 exons.
ACUGUAGUCAGGUCUAUACAUUCCUCUGUUCUACUGUAGUCAGGUCUAUACAUUCCUCUGUUCUACUGUAGUCAGGUCUAUACAUUCCUCUGUUCUACUGUAGUCAGGUCUAUACAUUCCUCUGUUCUACUGUAGUCAGGUCUAUACAUUCCUCUGUAGUCAGGUCUAUACAUUCCUCUGUUCUACUGUAGUCAGGUCUAUACAUUCCUCUGUUCUACUGUAGUCAGGUCUAUACAUUCCUCUGUUCUACUGUAGUCAGGUCUAUACAUUCCUCUGUUCUACUGUAGUCAGGUCUAUACAUUCCUCUGUAGUCAGGUCUAUACAUUCCUCUGUUCUACUGUAGUCAGGUCUAUACAUUCCUCUGUAGUCAGGUCUAUACAUUCCUCUGUUCUACUGUAGUCAGGUCUAUACAUUCCUCUGUAGUCAGGUCUAUACAUUCCUCUGUUCUACUGUAGUCAGGUCUAUACAUUCCUCUGUUCUACUGUAGUCAGGUCUAUACAUUCC